UGGAUUCAUUGGACUCAAUUUGGCCCUGCGACAGACUGGCAACCUGUCCAAGGUGUACCCCGCCUCUCACCCUAAGACAGCUGGGAUAGGCUCCAGCGCCCCCCUCGACCCUGAAAAUAAUAAGUGGAAGCGAAUGGAUGGAUGGAUAGAUGGAUUCAAUUUGUGUUACUGUUCGUGCGCAUUAAUCAGUCGUAGCUUUUAUCCUACGCUAAGGAGAUACACCACCAUUCAAAUUCACUGAAGUAUGUAUGUAGCUGAAGGGGCCGUGGCAAGUUGUUGGACCUUUGAUGCAUUUAGACAAGUGAACAUUUGAAAGAGUACCUACAGAAAAAAAGGAAAGAGGAAAAGUGUGUAGAGAAUGAAUACACCUCCUGCACUCAAACAACAACAUCCGUUACUAUACACGAUGAGUCUGAUAUCCUUAAAUGGAAGAUGCACUUCCUUCUGGAUUACAAGAAACUGCUGAACCCUCGUGCUAUCAGUACAUCUUGUUUGCGAAUGUUACUUGCUUUCACUUUGGGUGAGGGAAUUGUGGGAAAAUAAAUGCAGAGCCUUCCGCUUGUUGUCGUUCCGUCGACCUUUGACC
Long non-coding RNA from Astatotilapia calliptera (eastern happy), 586 nucleotides. The record is from Ensembl. Lineage: Eukaryota; Metazoa; Chordata; Actinopteri; Cichliformes; Cichlidae.